AGCUGUUUUCUCUGAAGUUUUCGGAUGGAAGAGAGUUCAGCUUAGUGGCGAACGGGUGAGUAACACGUGAGCAACCUGCCUUUCAGUGGGGGACAACAUUUGGAAACGAAUGCUAAUACCGCAUAAGACCACAGUGUCGCAUGGCACAGGGGUCAAAGGAUUUAUCCGCUGAAAGAUGGGCUCGCGUCCGAUUAGCUAGAUGGUGAGGUAACGGCCCACCAUGGCAACGAUCGGUAGCCGGACUGAGAGGUUGAACGGCCACAUUGGGACUGAGACACGGCCCAGACUCCUACGGGAGGCAGCAGUGGGGAAUAUUGCACAAUGGGGGAAACCCUGAUGCAGCGACGCCGCGUGGAGGAAGAAGGUCUUCGGAUUGUAAACUCCUGUCCCAGGGGACGAUAAUGACGGUACCCUGGGAGGAAGCACCGGCUAACUACGUGCCAGCAGCCGCGGUAAAACGUAGGGUGCAAGCGUUGUCCGGAAUUACUGGGUGUAAAGGGAGCGCAGGCGGAUUGGCAAGUUGGGAGUGAAAUCUAUGGGCUCAACCCAUAAAUUGCUUUCAAAACUGUCAGUCUUGAGUGGUGUAGAGGUAGGCGGAAUUCCCGGUGUAGCGGUGGAAUGCGUAGAUAUCGGGAGGAACACCAGUGGCGAAGGCGGCCUACUGGGCACUAACUGACGCUGAGGCUCGAAAGCAUGGGUAGCAAACAGG
Molecule: ribosomal RNA, 709 nt
Filed under: uncultured Lachnospiraceae bacterium
Lineage: Bacteria; Bacillati; Bacillota; Clostridia; Lachnospirales; Lachnospiraceae
Description: bacterial SSU rRNA
Rfam family: Bacterial small subunit ribosomal RNA
Source: RNAcentral